Molecule: ribosomal RNA, 120 nt
Filed under: uncultured bacterium
Lineage: Bacteria
Description: partial 16S ribosomal RNA
Rfam family: Bacterial small subunit ribosomal RNA
Source: RNAcentral
GCGCUAUUGGAGCGGCCGAUGUCAGAUUAGCUAGUUGGCGGGGUAAAGGCCCACCAAGGCGACGAUCUGUAGCUGGUCUGAGAGGACGACCAGCCACACUGGGACUGAGACACGGCCCAG